Long non-coding RNA from Rosa chinensis, 1181 nucleotides. RefSeq lists it as uncharacterized. Lineage: Eukaryota; Viridiplantae; Streptophyta; Magnoliopsida; Rosales; Rosaceae. The record is from RefSeq and is a predicted model, not a curated record. The transcript is spliced from 4 exons.
UCUAAAACCUAAUUGAGAAACCCGAACCUUCAAGUUCUUCAACCCAUCCUUGGAGUGGAAUCGUCGAGGUCGCGAUAGGGCAGAGGUCGUGGUAAUCGAAUUCCGGCAAUCUGGUUUCGUAGUGAGUAUCGGAUUUUAGACAGAAGAUUGGAGGUGUGACGGAGAAGAAGAUUCCGAUGGCGGGCGGGGAAAAAUAAAUUGGGCACGGCGUGCGAGAAACGAACCAAGUCUGAUCGAUUAAGUCCAGUAAGCGGAUCAUCUUCAUUGCGAGAGCAGAGAGUUGGGUCAUCUUCAUGCCUCAAAGUGCUGCCGUCAGCUGCGCCUCACCUUGCCCGAUCGGAUCUCCACCUCCCUCCCUCCCGACAAGAGCAAGGGAUAGGGGCUAUGCCGACUGCGGAUAAGUAUUACAUACCUUGUAUCUAUAGUCUUGAAUUUCCUUGUAGAUCUUUCAGUCUUAAAUUUCUGGCUAAAAGUUUAUCCUAACUUCAACUCGAUCAAGAAAAUGGUUACUACUGAGGAAAUGUAAACGUAGAAGGUUGUUGCCAGAUAAUCUGGAGAUUAAUCUACUGGAAGUACAAUGGAGGUUUUGCUGAUAUGGGACCAACCAUUAAGGCAAAUCAACCUUAUAUAUAGAGGCUGCAAUUUCAGCAUUAUCAAGGGGUUAAGCAAACUGCACCUAAAGGGCAUCUUCAGGAAUGCUGGACCACAUUAUUGUGAAACAAGUGUUUGAAGCUACCCUUGAAGCAGAUAGCGGCUGUUUCAGUCAUGGAUUCACCUUAUCAACUAAUCCGUUUGAUCCAAAUGUUGAUAAAAAGCAGAGGAUUUAUGCAGGCAAAGAAGCAAACUGCUGGAGGUUAAAAGGUGGUAGUUUGCGUAUGUAACUUGAUUGCUGGAAGACCCCACUCCCUGCUGAAUUCGUUUUUGCUGAAGAGUCUUAGUUUAAUCACUAUUUGUUGAAACAAUUUUAUUCCUUUCAAAAAUAUAUGCAAUGUCAUUGUAUAAUAUAAUAAAGUAAGCUCAUGUUAAGGGUUUAAAAUAUUUAAGCAGACUGUUUUUAGUGUAGAAAUUGCAAUUCAAAAUGCUCAGUAUGUUGUCUUUGAAGGAGAGUUGCAGAAAACGGGAUUCUGAUGUUGUAUUGUGUGUGAAAUUGAAGUUCUCGCCAUUGAUAGAGCUCUUGUGAA